RNAcentral lists this ribosomal RNA (636 nucleotides) under Gilliamella sp. App2-1. Its description in RNAcentral is "bacterial SSU rRNA". It matches the Rfam family "Bacterial small subunit ribosomal RNA", at positions 1 to 628 of the family's 1533-position model. The record is from RNAcentral. Lineage: Bacteria; Pseudomonadati; Pseudomonadota; Gammaproteobacteria; Orbales; Orbaceae.
UUAAAUUGAAGAGUUUGAUCAUGGCUCAGAUUGAACGCUGGCGGCAGGCUUAACACAUGCAAGUCGAACGGUAACAUGAGUGCUUGCACUUGAUGACGAGUGGCGGACGGGUGAGUAAUGUAUGGGGAUCUGCCGAAUGGAAGGGGACAACAGUUGGAAACGACUGCUAAUACCGUAUAAAGUUGAGAGACCAAAGCAUGGGACCUACGGGCCAUGCGCCAUUUGAUGAACCCAUAUGGGAUUAGCUAGUAGGUGAGGUAAUGGCUCACCUAGGCGACGAUCUCUAGCUGGUCUGAGAGGAUGACCAGCCACACUGGAACUGAGACACGGUCCAGACUCCUACGGGAGGCAGCAGUGGGGAAUAUUGCACAAUGGGGGGAACCCUGAUGCAGCCAUGCCGCGUGUAUGAAGAAGGCCUUCGGGUUGUAAAGUACUUUCGGUGAUGAGGAAGGUAGUGUAUCUAAUAGGUGCACUAAUUGACGUUAAUUACAGAAGAAGCACCGGCUAACUCCGUGCCAGCAGCCGCGGUAAUACGGAGGGUGCGAGCGUUAAUCGGAAUGACUGGGCGUAAAGGGCAUGUAGGCGGAUAAUUAAGUUAGGUGUGAAAGCCCUGGGCUCAACCUAGGAAUUGCACUU